GGAGGGGUAGCGAAGUGGUCAAACGCAGCAGACUGUAAAUCUGCCGGCUUUGCCUUCGUAGGUUCGAAUCCUACCCCCUCCACCA
RNAcentral lists this transfer RNA (85 nucleotides) under Polycladomyces abyssicola. RNAcentral's name for it is "tRNA-Tyr". It matches the Rfam family "tRNA". Rfam says of the family: Transfer RNA (tRNA) molecules are approximately 80 nucleotides in length. Their secondary structure includes four short double-helical elements and three loops (D, anti-codon, and T loops). Lineage: Bacteria; Bacillati; Bacillota; Bacilli; Caryophanales; Thermoactinomycetaceae. The record is from RNAcentral.